This 274-nucleotide ribosomal RNA is filed under the name uncultured bacterium. Its description in RNAcentral is "partial 16S ribosomal RNA". It matches the Rfam family "Bacterial small subunit ribosomal RNA", at positions 523 to 796 of the family's 1533-position model. The record is from RNAcentral.
AUACGGAGGGUGCAAGCGUUACUCGGAAUCACUGGGCGUAAAGCGCGCGCAGGCGGCUAUUUAAGUUGGAUGUGAAAGCCUACGGCUCAACCGUAGAACUGCAUCCAAAACUAUUUAGCUAGAGUGUGGGAGAGGAAGAUGGAAUUAGUUGUGGAGGGGUAAAAUCCGUAGAGAUAACUAGGAAUACCAAAAGCGAAGGCAAUCUUCUGGAACACUACUGACGCUGAGGCACGAAAGCGUGGGGAGCAAACAGGAUUAGAAACCCUAGUAGUCC